RNAcentral lists this ribosomal RNA (497 nucleotides) under uncultured bacterium. RNAcentral describes it as "partial 16S ribosomal RNA". It matches the Rfam family "Bacterial small subunit ribosomal RNA", at positions 28 to 507 of the family's 1533-position model. The record is from RNAcentral.
GAUGAACGCUGGCGGCGUGCCUAAUACAUGCAAGUCGAGCGAACAGACGAGGAGCUUGCUCCUCUGACGUUAGCGGCGGACGGGUGGGUAACACGUGGAUAACCUACCUAUAAGACUGGGAUAACUUCGGGAAACCGGAGCUAAUACCGGAUAAUAUAUUGAACCGCAUGGUUCAAUAGUGAAAGACGGUUUUGCUGUCACUUAUAGAUGGAUCCGCGCCGCAUUCGCUAGUUGGUAAGGUAACGGCUUACCAAGGCAACGAUGCGUAGCCGACCUGAGAGGGUGAUCGGCCACACUGGAACUGAGACACGGUCCAGACUCCUACGGGAGGCAGCAGUAGGGAAUCUUCCGCAAUGGGCGAAAGCCUGACGGAGCAACGCCGCGUGAGUGAUGAAGGUCUUCGGAUCGUAAAACUCUGUUAUUAGGGAAGAACAAAUGUGUAAGUAACUAUGCACGUCUUGACGGUACCUAAUCAGAAAGCCACGGCUAACUACGUG